Long non-coding RNA from Dendronephthya gigantea, 305 nucleotides. RefSeq lists it as uncharacterized. The transcript has 3 exons. Lineage: Eukaryota; Metazoa; Cnidaria; Anthozoa; Malacalcyonacea; Nephtheidae. The record is from RefSeq and is a predicted model, not a curated record.
CGAAAAAGCACAAAAUCAUUUGCUGACUGAAGAUUCUCUGUUAUCGAAUAUUCGAAUCUUUACUAGAAAUUAAGCAAGAAUGAUUUUUCGUCUGAACGUUUGUUUGUUGUUGAUCUUUGUGACAGGCGUUGUUGUUGGUGCUCGUCAUGAACAAGAUACGCAAGGGCAAGUGAUUAAUCCGUGUUUUGCGAACGGUGGAAGUUGUGUGUCACCCCAUGUCAGCUGUGUGGAUCAUUUGGAGCAAUAUGAUAUGUAUUGUCCAGAUGAUGAACAAUGCUGCCGAGUAAUCGGCGAUUAAGUUGGCA